CUCGGGUCCACGCUCGUGCACACGCCCGCACUCCCGCUCUGCACCCUUGGCCACCAGGAACCUCCGUGGGGCUGCCGUGAGCUCGGAUACAUCCAGUCCCAGCACCAAGCAAGUCUGAGAAAGGUUCUGCCACCAGGAACCUUGCAGAGUUCAGCCCGCUCGCCAGUCCCCGCCCAUUGGCCGAGCCUUGGUUCGUUCUGGACCCUGGCUCUUUAUAUAGAUAGAUAGCUGUGUGACUCGAUGGGCUGUUGCUGGAGGAUGAAAACCCAGAGGGGCUGAUGGUUAGUGUACAGGCUGUGUCUCUGUUAACGUGGGUGUGGCCCGUUUCAGGAGCUGUUUAACCUGCCAGGUGUAAUUUUGGGGCCUGAUUCACACAGCCUGUCCCCAGUGUAGCCAGAAUUUCAAGCUAUAAGUCUCUCUUUGAUUGUGUUCUUCACAUUUGGCUUCAACACAGCGGCAUCAUUUCCUAGAUGGGCCCCGUGCACAUGCUCCACACAGAGACUUCACCCAGCUCGUGCCGCAACACGGCUGGGAAAGUGAAAGCGCUUGCAAGAUGGAAUCAUCUUUGGAGGGAGGCGGCGUGUGGGCCUUUGGAGAAGAUUCCAGAAUCUCUUAAAAAGUCUUUAUGGGCAAGAUGAACUCAGCCAAGUCUGGGUGAAACGCCAGAAGGUCCCCGGAAUGUCUUGUCUGAAGCUGUGGGUGGGGAGUGACCUCAGCAGGGCCGGGUGUGGUGAGUCAGGAUGGCCAAGGAGAAGGUUGCUCCAACUCCCCAGCGUGGUUUAAAAGACACUUAGACAUGUAAGGAUUAAUGGGCGCGGACUUCCUCUCUCUGCCUUCUGCCUUCCUACCUGCCCCUCCGUCACCCCUCGUCCCCUUCCUUCCUACUCUCUUUCGUACAUUCCAAAUGUUAAUGUUAUAGUAUAAUAAAAAAAACUAAGA
This is a long non-coding RNA of Myotis davidii, 939 nucleotides long. RefSeq lists it as uncharacterized. The transcript has 3 exons. The record is from RefSeq and is a predicted model, not a curated record. Lineage: Eukaryota; Metazoa; Chordata; Mammalia; Chiroptera; Vespertilionidae.